This 73-nucleotide transfer RNA is filed under the name Ectemnonotum fruhstorferi. RNAcentral describes it as "tRNA-Val". Lineage: Eukaryota; Metazoa; Arthropoda; Insecta; Hemiptera; Cercopidae. The record is from RNAcentral.
CAAGCUAUAACUUUGUUAGUAAAGUUAUAUUAUUUACACUAAUAUUUAAGUUGUGCAAUUCAAUUUAGUUUGA